GUUUCAAUAGGUCUUGUGCAUAAAACCAUCACCUCUAGAGUUGGUGCUAGCUAAACAAUUCCAGCUUCUGUAGUGCUGUUUUCUGUUAAUGGAUGAUAAAAAGUUGUUUCUCCCAUCCUCCCAGUGUUUGCUUUUAAGUUUUCUUUGCUAGAAAAUCCUGGAGCUCUGGCAUGCCUGAGAUCCAUAAAAUUCUAGCCUCCGUUGCUGCUGAAAUGGUGGGCAUAGAUGGCACACCAUACUACAGAAAAGGAUUAACUAAGAUGGAACACACUACGGAAGGAUGCAGUGGACUGCAGAUGCUGGUAGAUGCAUUCACUGCUGUUUUUGUGCUUGAAGCUGUAUAGUUAUUGACUGUUAGCUGGAAUAAAACCAAGAACAUUGCUGCUGCUACGUCAGUCAGUUUUUCGUUCCCCCCCGCCACACCAUUGGGAUGUAACACUGAGAUCAUCCCUUAAAGCAAAAUCAAAAAAGGAGGACGCUACUUGGUUAGUUCAUCUACCCAUAUUUUGACCCCUAGUGCUAAAAUUCCUUUGUUUUCUGGGUAUUAACUCCUAAUAUUAAUUGAGUGAAUCUGUGCAAACUGCAUCUAGUUGUGUAUGAGAGACUGAAAAUAAUGGAUAAUUAGGAAAACAAAGACAGGAAGAGAGGAAGUAUGUAAUGUGACACAGGACAUACUGAAAUAGCUUUUGAAAGAUGGUGAGAUGAAUCAGCCAUAAUUUAAUAGUGAUGGAAAGAAUGUACUUGCCUGACUGGCAAUUAGUAGCUCUGGGGGCAGCGUGUAUUUUGUGUGCUGCUCUUGGUGCAGUUGAUUUCAAAAAGUUAGGCUUGGAUUUCAGAUAAAUUUGUUCCUGCUGGUCCUGUAGGUGUUUGGGCUCUGCUUUGGAGGAGUGCUUGAACAAUAUUGUUAGUUAAAUGCAUUACCCUUACCUGGUCUUUGGAUGUUUUGCUGCUGAGUCCAAUCAUAGGCGAAAAGAACUGUUUGAUAAUAACUGGUUAUUGGUAGUCUGUAGAAAUAUAUUCUCCUUAACCUCAGUAUUUCAAGAUGGUACCAAAGUUAAGAGUCUUGGAAUUGCAUUUUAAGAAUGCCUUUUUGAAGAAAAGGCCUUGUGCAGACAUGGUAGUUAUGUAAUAUGUGCUUUCCCUUUUUCCUGUGUACCAUGACUAGCAUAUACCCUUGUUGCCACAAGGUUUCAGUGUUUCUUCAAAAGAGUAGCUUCACCACUAGGAUCUUGGUUAGAAUGCAGCAGCAAUAUUGCUCACUGGGGGGGGGCCUUGUAGUCAACAGUUUUAUAGUAAUUGAGUUUGUUGAUUAAUUAGAACUGAGAUUUUUUUUCUAAUUUUGAAAGUUACGCUUUUAGUCCUUAUGACUGAGCAGCUACCAAGAAUGAGCUGAAUAUAAACCAUAUUACUGGGUCUUCCUAAUUGUAAUGUGAGUGUUCCCAUUCACCUAUUUGGAUUGACUGAAGUUUUCUGAUAGAAAUUAAAGUAAAAAUCAGUUGUUUCCUAUUUGAAUAAUACUUGGCUAAUCGUUUGUGCCAAAAAUAAAAGCUUAAUAUACUAAUCCCAAACUCUCUCCUGUAUUUUUUAGUGUAAAAAAUGUCCAGCUUCCUUACAAUAGCUAGCAGGCUCAGCUUCUACAAUGCAGUUAUAAAUUGUUAGUAUGAAAACCUCAAGCAUGCUGGGAGUUAAGAAGUAGAGUAAAACUGAAUUUUAAUAUCAAAAUAGCACCAAGGAUCAUGAUCCAAGUGGGAAUGUGAAAACCUGUCUGUCACUCACUUGGUGCUUCUGCAGAAUUUUCAUUCUGGCACAAAGCAGGCUGGCAUGUAGACAAACUUGAGUCCAGAAUACAUAGGGCUUUGCUUACUGGCUAAAGCAUUAAAGCUGUAAAUAUUGCAAUGUAAAUGCUCACUGGAGUUUUCCUUUAGGCCUAAAGUGUUCUCGUUCCCUGGUGAGAUUCCCUUUCAAAGGACUGACUUAUUUCUGUAGCAGAAAUGCGUUCACAGGAAUGGCUUGUUUUUCCAGAAGAGUCUUUGGCAACCGAUCAUACUGCUCCUUCUGCUGUACCUCCUGAAGGUGUUUGGCUUUUACCAAGUAAGGAUGCAGACUGAUAAAGGAACCUGCUGUAGGAUCAGAAACUCAUACUAGCCCUUCCUCCUGAGUGCAGCUCCUUGCCUGAAACUCAGCAUUCCAAAGGUAGGUCCUAGGUUUAUGUAGCAUCAUAAUGUCCUACCCUCUGAGAAUGUGGGGUAAUUUUGGACUUGCUACAGACUUGAUGGAUGCAAGCAUUAUUGUGCAUACCUAGAGUCCCAUUGAGCUGGAUUUCAUUGAGCUAGUCUGAGUCAGUUAUAAAGAGACUUGCAAAAAUCAAGGUUCCCUCUGUUAAAUUAUAUAAUCUAAUCCUAAAAUUAAUUGUAGGAUGAUGUAUCAAAAGAUAUUGGCAUCUAGGAUGGCCUCUGGUGGGCAAAGAUGCUGUAAGUGGCUACUUUGGUGCUGUCUUAGGAAAGAAAGUAGUGUGCAUGCUUCAGCUCUGAGUGCUGGGGGUGGGCUGUAAGAGCACAGGUCUGCAUCUAGUCUCCUGUGGCACUGUACUUGUAGUGAAUGUUCAGGGCUGCAGAAGGGAUUUCUUUUAAAUCUACUUUUUGUGAAAUCCUACUGCAUAUCCGACACUGAGCUACAACUUUGUCCAAGGGAACUUAGCAGGGAGAGCAAGCAAGUUUUAAAGGAGGGGCUCCACACACACACACACACACACACACACACACACACGCUCUCUCUCUCUCUCUCUCUCUCUGUGUGGGAAUCAGAGCUAUAAGAACUCACUCAGAUUGUGCCUGUGUGUGCACCACACUUUGUCCUUUCCUUUUCAACAACCUGCCUUAUCUUAUGUGCUUGGUAGGGGUGAUAAACCAGAAGAAAGGAUCUUGACAGGAAGGGAAAGACUGGGAAAUUAAAUCUGGGGAAAUCCUAGUGAAACAUUCUUCCUGCCCAAAAGAGCAAGUUUAAAUUUUUUGAAAUAGUUUGGAAAGACAAACUUGAGACAGUUUAAAGGACUGGAUUUUAGAAAGGCAGACUCAUUCACCUUCUGAAAAUUAAGCCCGUGAGGCCACCUGCCUUAGUUUGACAUAAAAAAUAAGAAUAGAUGCAGCCUUUGUUCGGGUUCAGCUCUUGAUCAUCUGCCAAGCUAAAUUAUUACAAAUAAAAUCACAAGCACUAGGGAGUAUGGUUAGAGUGUUUAUUCUGAUUUCUUGUCCCUACCAGUCUUAGUACACACAUAGGAGGCAGAGUUAUACAGUCCCAAACCUUUAUUCUUCAAGAGCUGCAAAGAGACAAACAGGCAAAUGUUCCCUCUCACUUGAAAAUUAGUGCACACUACCUCAUUGUUUGUUUGGAGGAAAAGAUGUAACAUGUCUCAAGGAAUCUCAGAAGAGAUUGAAAUAAUAGCAUGUUAAAAGUGCUAGUUGAGAGGAUGGGAAAGUAGAAAUGAGGCCACAGUAUGUCAUGUCGCCAUUGAUUUUAAGCUGUAGCCCACUGGGGGGUCAGCUAGUGUCUCUUAGUUCAGAGGCCUUAGGUUUUCAUUUAACUAGGGAUUGUUUAGGCUUCUUAUUUUUUCUAGCCCAAGCUCCUCCAGUUCCACCUACUUUAUCUUUUACCUUGAGUGGUUGUAUUCUUCGUUAGCUGAGGGGGGUGGGGUGGUAUUUCUCUGACCCCUUUCUUUAUGAAGCAUCAUCUGUAGGAAUGUAGUAAGCUUAAAUUUGUUACUUUCUGGAAGUAGCACAAGGGGUAAAAGCUUUAAAAAAAAAAAAAAAAAA
Molecule: long non-coding RNA, 3809 nt
Organism: Alligator sinensis (Chinese alligator)
Lineage: Eukaryota; Metazoa; Chordata; Crocodylia; Alligatoridae
Exons: 2
Source: RefSeq, a predicted model, not a curated record